RNAcentral lists this ribosomal RNA (560 nucleotides) under uncultured bacterium. RNAcentral describes it as "bacterial SSU rRNA". It matches the Rfam family "Bacterial small subunit ribosomal RNA", at positions 9 to 611 of the family's 1533-position model. The record is from RNAcentral.
GAGUUUGAUCCUGGCUCAGGAUGAACGCUGGCGGUAUGCUUAACACAUGCAAGUCGAACGGAAUCUUUAGGGAUUUAGUGGCGGACGGGUGAGUAACGCGUAAGAAUCUACCUUCAGGUUGGGGACAACCACUGGAAACGGUGGCUAAUACCGAAUGUGCCGAGAGGUGAAAGGCUUGCUGCCUGAAGAAGAGCUUGCGUCUGAUUAGCUAGUUGGUGUGGUAAAGGCGCACCAAGGCGACGAUCAGUAGCUGGUCUGAGAGGAUGAUCAGCCACACUGGGACUGAGACACGGCCCAGACUCCUACGGGAGGCAGCAGUGGGGAAUUUUCCGCAAUGGGCGAAAGCCUGACGGAGCAAUACCGCGUGAGGGAGGAAGGCUCUUGGGUUGUAAACCUCUUUUCUCAGGGAAGAAAAAAAUGACGGUACCUGAGGAAUAAGCAUCGGCUAACUCCGUGCCAGCAGCCGCGGUAAUACGGAGGAUGCAAGCGUUAUCCGGAAUGAUUGGGCGUAAAGGGUCCGCAGGUGGCAUUGUUUGUCUGCUGUUAAAGAGUUUGGCUCA